UUCGUCGGAUUCCCACCGGCGGCGGCGCACCGCGACCACAACGGCGGCGCAUACCCGGAGUGUCGCGGCUGCUGCUGCCGCUGCCGCCCGGCGCGCUCUACCGCUGGUUUGCACCGCCGCAGACGGGAGACGCGUCCAGGUGCAGAGUAGUAGAGAACGGAGCGAAUCUGCAAGGUUUCCUCCGUUUCUUCAGGCAUUAAAUUGCCGAAGGAAACAAGCAGUCAAUUUCCUCAAUGUUAUGCACAAUGUUCUUCCAUGCUGAACUCAGGUUAAAAGGAAUCCAAGCUUGGGAAUUUCCUGGAAAGACCAACGAAGGGAGACCUGUUUGAAAGAGAAAGGCACAGCUGCUGCAGGACUGCAGCUUAGCUACAGUCUCAGAAAUAAUCAUGUGUGUAUCAAUAUCACAUCCUUUCUCUUGUGAUUAGUCCAACCAUGGUCCAUGGCUGCCAGGUGCGAGCUUUACGUGGCAAUCCUUGAAGAAAAAUAAAAACAUGUAUGGUUGAUGAAGGCGUGCGAUUUUUUUUUCCUUCUAUGGGUGAUACGAAGGUGCGUGAUUUCUCCUGGUUUCGUCUUGAUGUGCGGUGUUUCACACUUUGAUAGUGUAAUCCCUUUUCUUAAUGUCUACUAGGUAGCUUAGCUUGUUUGACACGUGCUAUUCCUGAGAGUUUCGAGUUCUUUAGCAGCAGUCAAGGAAGGACGACGAAUUAUCCUGCUUUGAUUAUAAUUUUACUUUAGCUGAAGUAUUAGAUUUUACAAACUUAUU
This is a long non-coding RNA of Oryza brachyantha (malo sina), 763 nucleotides long. RefSeq lists it as uncharacterized. The record is from RefSeq and is a predicted model, not a curated record. Lineage: Eukaryota; Viridiplantae; Streptophyta; Magnoliopsida; Poales; Poaceae. The transcript has 3 exons.